GAUGAAGAACGCAGCGAAAUGCGAUAAGUAAUGUGAAUUGCAGAAUUCAGUGAAUCAUCGAAUCUUUGAACGCACAUUGCGCCCGCCAGUAUUCUGGCGGGCAUGCCUGUUCGAGCGUCAUUUCAACCAUCAAGCCCCGGGCUUGUGUUGGGGACCUGCGGCUGCCGCAGGCCCUGAAAUGCAGUGGCGGGCUCGCUGUCACUCCGAGCGUUGUAGUUACAUCUCGCUCUGGGCGUGCUGCGGGUUCCGGCCGUUAAAAGCCUUAUUUACCCAAGGUUGACCUCGGAUCAGGUAGGAAGACCCGCUGAACUUAAGCAUAUCAAUAAGCGGAGGA
RNAcentral lists this unclassified non-coding RNA (334 nucleotides) under soil metagenome. RNAcentral describes it as "partial contains 5.8S ribosomal RNA, internal transcribed spacer 2, and large subunit ribosomal RNA". The stretch from base 1 to 120 matches the Rfam family "5.8S ribosomal RNA", at positions 35 to 154 of the family's 154-position model. The record is from RNAcentral.